GACGAACCGUGCGAACGUUAUUCGGAAUCACUGGGCUUAAAGCGCGUGUAGGCGGGCCUGCGCGUCGGUCGCUGAAAGCCCCCGGCUCAACCGGGGAAGCGGCGCCGAUACGGCCGGCCUGGAGGGGGGUAGGGGGACCUGGAACUUCCGGUGGAGCGGUGAAAUGCGUUGAGAUCGGAAGGAACGCCCGUGGCGAAAGCGAGGUCCUGGACCCUUUCUGACGCUGAGACGCGAAAGCCAGGGGAGCGAACGGG
This 254-nucleotide ribosomal RNA is filed under the name uncultured bacterium. RNAcentral's name for it is "partial 16S ribosomal RNA". It matches the Rfam family "Bacterial small subunit ribosomal RNA", at positions 524 to 776 of the family's 1533-position model. The record is from RNAcentral.